GACGGAGGGGGCAAGCGUUGUCCGGAUUUACUGGGCGUAAAGGGCGCGUAGGCGGUCCUUUAAGUCGCCGGUGAAAUCGCUCGGCUUAACCGAGCAAUUGCCGGCGAUACUGGAGGACUUGAGUCCGGGAGAGGAGAGUGGAAUUGCCGGUGUAGCGGUGAAAUGCGUAGAUAUCGGCAAGAACACCAGUGGCGAAGGCGGCUCUCUGGACCGGUACUGACGCUGAGGCGCGAAAGCUAGGGGAGCGAACGGG
This 253-nucleotide ribosomal RNA is filed under the name uncultured bacterium. Its description in RNAcentral is "partial 16S ribosomal RNA". It matches the Rfam family "Bacterial small subunit ribosomal RNA", at positions 524 to 776 of the family's 1533-position model. The record is from RNAcentral.